UACGUAGGGUGCAAGCGUUAAUCGGAAUUACUGGGCGUAAAGCGUGCGCAGGCGGUUUUGUAAGUCUGUCGUGAAAGCCCCGGGCUCAACCUGGGAAUUGCGAUGGAGACUGCAAGGCUUGAAUCUGGCAGAGGGGGGUAGAAAUUCCACGUGUAGGCAGUGAAAUGCGUAGAGAUGUGGAGGAACACCGAUGGCGAAGGCAGCCCCCUGGGUCAAGAUUGACGCUCAUGCACGAAGCGUGGGGAGCAAACAGGGAAUUAG
RNAcentral lists this ribosomal RNA (261 nucleotides) under uncultured bacterium. Its description in RNAcentral is "partial 16S ribosomal RNA". It matches the Rfam family "Bacterial small subunit ribosomal RNA", at positions 524 to 781 of the family's 1533-position model. The record is from RNAcentral.